GAAACGGUGGCUAAUACCGCAUAACGUCGCAAGACCAAAGAGGGGGACCUUCGGGCCUCUUGCCAUCAGAUGUGCCCAGAUGGGAUUAGCUUGUUGGUGAGGUAACGGCUCACCAAGGCGACGAUCCCUAGCUGGUCUGAGAGGAUGACCAGCCACACUGGAACUGAGACACGGUCCAGACUCCUACGGGAGGCAGCAGUGGGGAAUAUUGCACAAUGGGCGCAAGCCUGAUGCAGCCAUGCCGCGUGUAUGAAGAAGGCCUUCGGGUUGUAAAGUACUUUCAGCGGGGAGGAAGGUGUUGUGGUUAAUAACCGCAGCAAUUGACGUUACCCGCAGAAGAAGCACCGGCUAACUCCGUGCCAGCAGCCGCGGUAAUACGGAGGGUGCAAGCGUUAAUCGGAAUUACUGGGCGUAAAGCGCACGCAGGCGGUCUGUCAAGUCGGAUGUGAAAUCCCCGGGCUCAACCUGGGAACUGCAUUCGAAACUGGCAGGCUUGAGUCUUGUAGAGGGGGGUAGAAUUCCAGGUGUAGCGGUGAAAUGCGUAGAGAUCUGGAGGAAUACCGGUGGCGAAGGCGGCCCCCUGGACAAAGACUGACGCUCAGGUGCGAAAGCGUGGGGAGCAAACAGGAUUAGAUACCCUGGUAGUCCACGCCGUAAACGAUGUCUACUUGGAGGUUGUGCCCUUGAGGCGUGGCUUCCGGAGCUAACGCGUUAAGUAGACCGCCUGGGGAGUACGGCCGCAAGGUUAAAACUCAAAUGAAUUGACGGGGGCCCGCACAAGCGGUGGAGCAUGUGGUUUAAUUCGAUGCAACGCGAAGAACCUUACCUGGUCUUGACAUCCACAGAACAUUCCAGAGAUGGAUUGGUGCCUUCGGGAACUGUGAGACAGGUGCUGCAUGGCUGUCGUCAGCUCGUGUUGUGAAAUGUUGGGUUAAGUCCCGCAACGAGCGCAACCCUUAUCCUUUGUUGCCAGCGGUCCGGCCGGGAACUCAAAGGAGACUGCCAGUGAUAAACUGGAGGAAGGUGGGGAUGACGUCAAGUCAUCAUGGCCCUUACGACCAGGGCUACACACGUGCUACAAUGGCGCAUACAAAGAGAAGCGACCUCGCGAGAGCAAGCGGACCUCAUAAAGUGCGUCGUAGUCCGGAUUGGAGUCUGCAACUCGACUCCAUGAAGUCGGAAUCGCUAGUAAUCGUGGAUCAGAAUGCCACGGUGAAUACGUUCCCGGGCCUUGUACACACCGCCCGUCACACCAUGGGAGUGGGUUGCAAAAGAAGUAGGUAGCUUAACCUUCGGGAGGGCGCUUACCACUUUGUGAUUCAUGACUGGGGUGAAGUCGUAACAAGGUAACCGUAGGGGAACCUGC
Molecule: ribosomal RNA, 1366 nt
Filed under: Salmonella enterica subsp. enterica
Lineage: Bacteria; Pseudomonadati; Pseudomonadota; Gammaproteobacteria; Enterobacterales; Enterobacteriaceae
Also listed under: 1 other name
Description: bacterial SSU rRNA
Rfam family: Bacterial small subunit ribosomal RNA
Source: RNAcentral